CCCUUCAGCGGGGGAUAACAGUCCGAAAGGAUUGCUAAUACCGCAUACGUCGGUGAAGGCUUCGGUCUUUAUCGGGAAAGGUGGCCUCUUCAUGAAAGCUACCACUGAAGGAGCAGCCCGCGGCCCAUCAGCUAGUUGGUGAGGUAACGGCUCACCAAGGCAGAGACGGGUAGCUGGUCUGAGAGGAUGAUCAGCCACACUGGAACUGAGACACGGUCCAG
This 221-nucleotide ribosomal RNA is filed under the name uncultured bacterium. Its description in RNAcentral is "partial 16S ribosomal RNA". It matches the Rfam family "Bacterial small subunit ribosomal RNA", at positions 129 to 334 of the family's 1533-position model. The record is from RNAcentral.